UUAUAGAUGAAGGAGCAGAGGUUAGAGAUGGAUGGAACUUGCCUUACAGGAAGAUGGAAAAAUGGACUGGACAGUGCAAAUGGAAGGUACUGCUGAUGUCACUUUGUUCUACUGCUUACACCAUAAGGAAAGGAACUGUGACGUUUCAGUUACAGGGUGUUUGGAGACUAUGGAGCCACAUCCUUACAGAGGCAAGCCCGAGAGGAAAACAGAUCUUCCCCUACUGCUCUACCAGAAAAAAACCUCAGGGAAGAUCUUGGGUUGACUUGCAUCAUGUAGACAUCUGAUGUGGUUUGGAUAUUUGUGCCCUCCACAGCUCAUGAUGAAAUUUGGUCUCCAGUGUUGGAGGUGGGGCCUCGUGGGGAGUGUUUGGGUCAUGGAGGUGGAUCCCUCAUGAGUGGCUUGGUGCCCUCUCAUAGUAAUGAGUGACUUCUCACUCUAUUGUAUGUUCACCUGAGAGUUGGUUGUUUAAAAGAGUGGUUGUUUAAAAAAGCUGGUUGCAUAAAAGAGAGCUGGUUGUUUAAAAAAGCACUCCUCCCC
RNAcentral lists this long non-coding RNA (540 nucleotides) under Homo sapiens (human). Its description in RNAcentral is "HSALNT0286878". Lineage: Eukaryota; Metazoa; Chordata; Mammalia; Primates; Hominidae. The record is from RNAcentral.